RNAcentral lists this long non-coding RNA (18925 nucleotides) under Homo sapiens (human). Its description in RNAcentral is "HSALNT0328708". The record is from RNAcentral. Lineage: Eukaryota; Metazoa; Chordata; Mammalia; Primates; Hominidae.
GUCGACUACCAGGCUGCGUUAGGAGCUACCGUCUUCAGCUUUUUCUCGCUGCUGAGAGCUGUUUUGUUACUCAGUAAAACUCUUCUCCACCGUGCUCACCCUUCAGUUGACCGUGCAACUUCAUUCUUCCUGGACAUAAACCCGGGACCCACAGAACAGCGGGUGCAAAAAGGGCUGUAACGCUUUCCUGGCCGGAUCGCCAAGCUGCAGGUAAGAUGUGCCUGCUUCACCUACUGGCGUGAAUGUAAACUUUCUGAGACCUUCCCAGCCAUGUGGAACUGUGAUUGGGAGCCAGGGAAGGAGUGACACUAUCCCUAGAUGUAGUGAUAUGUUUUACAGGUCCACAGCUGGAAGGAGCUUUCCUUGAUUCUCAAAUGAGACUUUGGACUUUGGACUUUUGAGUCGGUGCUGAAACAAGUUAAGAUUUUUUGGAUUAUUGGGAUGGAGUGACUGUAUUUUGCACAUGAAAAGAACAUGAGUUUUGGAAGGGCCACGCUCUUCAUGCCUGUGUGUUUCCCGCACCCCUGGGAAGGCGAAGGGAAGGAGCUACAUUGUCAAGUGUGGUCCAGCAAGUAAGCAGGUCCUGAGCACCAAACAUAUCACAGGCACUCACUGCUUGGGCCCACCAGUCAACAGGAGCCUGCUAGAUACAGCCAUGUGCCACUCCAACCUCCCUGAGGGCAUGGCCUAUGCACUAUUUGGGGUUUAGAUAGCUCAUGGUUCUGCUGGUUAGGAAGUUCAAGCGCAAGGCCCUGACUUCUGGUAAGUGCUUUCAUGCUGCAUCAACACGACUAAGAAGGUCAAAGAAGAAGUGGACAUGUGAGUAAAGGAAAAACUGGAGGGGUAUUCCUAAAGCCCUAGGGCAUGAACACAAUGCAACCACAUUCUUUGCUGUGGUGUGACAGGAGGGAACUUUGUUCCAGUUUUCACAUAAAUACUCCUUAUUUCCAUCACAGAUUUCAUCAGAAUGGUCUUUCCUAUCAGCAUAUUGGUCACAAUUAUAUAACAAAUCUCUAAGAAGCUCCAAAGUUUUCUUCACCUUUGUACUUUCUUCUGAGUUCUUGCCAGAACCACCCUUAAUUCUUCAUUCAUGGUAAGAUAGACUUUUUCUAGCCUGCUCCUCCUAACUCUUCUAAUCUCUUUCUACUAUCCAGUUCCAAAGCCAACCCCACAUUUUUAUAUACCUAUAUAACAAUGAUCAAUUGUUAGUACCAAUUUUCUAUCUUAGUUUUGUGUUGCUAUAACAGAAUACGUGAGCCUCGGUAAUUUAUAAAGAAAGGAGAUGUAUUUAGCUCAUGGUUCUGCAAGCUGGGAAAUUCAAGGGCAUGGCUCUGGCUUCUGGGAAGGGCUUUCAUGAUGUGUUAUAACAUAACAAAUAAGGUCAAAGAGGAUGUGGACAAGUGUGAAAAGGCAAAAUCUGAAGGGCAUCCCAGCUUUUUUAGUCACUAACCCUCACAAGAACUAAUCUAUUUCCAUCAUAAGUAAUCAAGUCUCACAAGAGCAAGAAAUCACUCACUGUGGUGAGAACAACCACCAAGCUAUUCAUGAGGGAUUUGCCGUCUUGAUACAAACAGCUUCUACUAGGCCCUACCUCUCAACACUCCCACAUUGAGAAUCAAAUUUCUUUUCUAGUUGUGGCUUGUUAUAUUACCCAGGCUGCGCUCUGACUCCUGGGUUCAAGGGAUCCUCCUGCUUCAGCCUCCCAAGUGGCUGGGACUAGAGGCACAUGCUACCAUGCUUGGUGCGAGAUCAAAUUUUAGCAUGAGUUUUGGUGGGGAUGAACAAACUAUAUCCAAACCAUAGCAAGACGCUAAAGGACACUGAGAUCCUCUGACACUUAGAGAAAACAGAAAGAUGAUUGUUGGUACCAACACAUAUCAUAGGUAAUUGACACUUCUAUGUAGGAAACAGAGUAACCACUCAAAAUUGCAUUUUAUUUCUAUUACUGACACCAUUUCAUUCAUUGAAGAAGAACUAAUAUAAACAUAUCAAGUUCUACACAUAAAAGCCUACGUGUAGAAAAUAUGAUAGUCACCACUGGAAACUAAAAAUUUUAUUGGAGACCUAUGAUGUAUCCUUCUCUGUUGUCCUAUUGCUUUUUUGUUAAAUUAGAUUAAAUAUCACACUUGAAUCCGUAUCUCUAAAGUUUUUGUCAUAUAAUGCACAAUUUGUUCACUUAAGCUGAUUAUUUUUACAUUUCUUCAGGUUUUUUUUUAAAUAAAACUGCCUGCCAUCUUUUUGGAAACAAAUGACAUGUUCCAGGACAGUCUCACACACACAUAAAGAUUAAAUGCAAUAAUCUAGAAUUCUGAGUAUCAUGUGGCUUUGUGGUUGGUUUAUUAAGGCUGCCAAAGCAUUUUUGCCAGAAUAGAAAUUCAUGGAGAAAAUUGUGAGUAAAAACAUUAGCUUUUCAAGAAAUAUCGAGGAAUAUAGUCCUUUAUUCUUAUGUAUUACAGGUACAAUGCUUGAGAUAAAAGUACAGAGAAGAAAACAUGAAAGGCCCGAUUUUUAUAAUCUUACAGUCUAGAGAAGGAGAAAGUUACAUAAAUAGAUAAUUUAGAUUCAGUAGAAAAAUUACUAGAAUAGCAACAUAGACAACAUGCUGUAACAACAGAGAGUGGGGCUAGUGAACUCUAGUGAUUUAAGUAGUCUUUAUGAAGAAAAGUAUGUUACUUUAAGUUUUUUAUUUAAACAGCUUUAUUGAUGUAUAAUUAACAUAUCAAAAGUUAAUCUAUUUAAAUAUACUAUUCGGUAGUUUUUGUAUAUUCACAGCUGUACAGCAACCAACGAAAUCAAAUUUUAGAAAGUUUUCAUCAAUCCAAAAUGAAUCCCCACACAUAUUACAGGUCACUCUCCACCUACCCCACUCCCGCACCCUAGGCAAACACAAAUCUGUUUUCUCCCUCUAUAGAUCUGCCUAUUUGGGCUAUUUUAUGUAAAUAGAAACAUAAACAAGUGGCCUUUUGUGACUUACUUCUAUCACUUCCCAUAACAUUUCUGAGGUUUAUCCAUUUUGCACCAUGUGUCAGUAGAUUGCUUUUUAUGGCCAAAUAAUAUUCCAUUGUGUAAAUAUAUUACAUUUGUUGAUUUAAUUUGGUAGCUUCCACUAUUUGGCUAUUGGGAAUAGUGAUGCUAUAAAUAUUUGUGUACAGGUUUUGUUUGAGCACUUAUUUUCAUUUCUUUUGGAGUUAAAUUGCUGAGUCAAAUAGUUCUGUGAGAAACAACAAAAACUGUUUCUCAAAACAGCCACACCAUUUUACAUUCUCAUAAUCAAUGUAUGAGUGUUCCAGUUUCUCUUUAUUACUUGUUAACUCUUGUUACUGUCUGCCUUUUUUGUUAUAGCCAUCCUAGUGGGUAUGAAGUGGUAUCUGAUAGUUUUAGUCUGUAUUCACCUAAUAAUGUUGCGUACCUCUUUAUGUGUUUGUUAGUCAUUUGUAUAUCUAAUCUGAAAAAAAAAAGGUUUAUUCAAAUUGAGAUAUUUACCUUUUAAUUAUGGACUUGUAAGAGUUUCUUAUUUAUUCUGGAUACAAAUGCUUUAUCAGCUAAAGGAUUCGCAAAUCUUUUCUCUCAUUUUGUGGACUGGCUUUUCACUUUUUUGAUGGUAUGACUAGCAACACGAAAGUUUUUUAUAUUAGUAAAGUGCAAUGUAUCUAUGUUUUUCUUUCUUCACUUGUAUUUUGGUGUCAUAUCUGAGAAAUCAUUGCUUAAUGGAAAGUCACAAAGUUAUUCAUGUUUUCUUCUAAAUAUGUUAGAGAUUUCACUUUUACAUUUGGGACUACAAUCUAUUUUGAGUUAAUUUUUUGUGUAUGGUUUAAGGAAGAAGUCCAAUUUCAUUUAUUCUCUUAUAUGAAUAUUCAAUUAUGCAGCCCGAUUUGUUGAAAAGAUUAUUAUGCCCCUAUAAUAAUCUUGAAGGCCUUGUCAAAUCUCAAUAAUCCUAUCCAGUUGACCUAUAUGUCUAUUCUUAUGCCAGUGCUAUACAGUCUUUAUUAUUUUCUUUGAAAUUAGUUUUAAAAUUGAGAAGUGUUAGUUCACCAGAAGUGUUCUUUUUCAAGAUUGUUCUAAGUAUCCUGGGACCUUGAAUUUUGUAGAAAUUUUAGGAUCAACUUGUCAAUUACUGUAAAAAAAAUGGCAGCUAAAUUUUAUUAUUAUUAUUAUUAUUAUUAUUAUUAUACUUUAAGUUUUAGGGUACAUUUGCACAAUGUGCAGGUUUGUUACAUAUGUAUACAUGUGCCAUGUUGGUGUGCUGCACCCAUUAACUCGUCAUUCAGCAUUAGGUAUAUCUCCUAAUGCUGUCCCUCCCCCCUCCCCCGACCCCACAACAGUCCCCGGUGUGUGAUGUUCCCCUUCCUGUGUCCAUGUGUUCUCAUUGUUCAAUUCCCACCUAUGAGUGAGAACAUGCGGUGUUUGGUUUUUUGUCCUUGCGAUAGUUUGCUGAGAAUGAUGGUUUCCAGCUUCAUCCAUGUCCCUACAAAGGACAUGAACCCAUCAUUUUUUAUGGCUGCAUAGUAUUCCAUGGUGUAUAUGUGCCACCUUUUCUUAAUCCAGUCUAUCGUUGUUGGACAUUUGGGUUGGUUCCAAGUCUUUGCUAUUGUGAAUAGUGCCGCAAUAAACAUACGUGUGCAUGUGUCUUUAUAGCAGCAUGAUUUAUAAUCCUUUGGGUAUAUACCCAGUAAUGGGAUGGCUGGGUCAAAUGGUAUUUCUAGUUCUAGAUCCCUAAGGAAUCGCCACACCAACUUCCACAAUGGUUGAACUAGUUUACAGUCCCACCAACAGUGUAAAAGUGUUCCUAUUUCUCCACAUCCUCUCCAGCACCUGUUGUGUCCUGACUUUUUAGUGAUUGCCAUUCUAACUGGUGUGAGAUGGUAUCUCAUUGUGGUUUUGAUUCACAUUUCUCUGAUGGCCAGUGAUGAUGAGCAUUUUUUCAUGUGUUUUUUGGCUGCAUAAAUGUCUUCUUUUGAGAAGUGUCUGUUCAUAUCCUUUGCCCACUUUUUGAUGGAGUUGUUUGUUUUUUUCUUGUAAAUUUGUUUGAGUUCAUUGUAGAUUCUGGAUAUUAGCCCUUUGUCAGAUGAGUAGGUUGCAAAAAUUUUCGCCCAUUCUGUAGGUUGCCUGUUCACUCUGAUGAUGGUUUCUUUUGCUGUGCAGAAGCUCUUUAGUUUAAAUAGAUCCCAUUUGUUAAUUUUGGCUUUUGUUGCCAUUGCUCAAUGAAAUAAAAGAGGAUACAAACAAAUGGAAGAACAUUCCAUGCUCAUGGGUAGGAAGAAUCAAUAUCAUGAAAAUGGCCCUACUGCCCAAGGUAAUUUAUAGAUUCACUGCCAUCCCCAUCAAGCUACCAAGACUUUCUUCACAGAAUUGGAAAAAACUACUUUGAAGUUCAAAUGAAACCAAAAAAGAGCCCACAUUUCCAAGUCAAUCCUAAGCCAAAAGAACAAAGCUGGAGGCAUCAUGCUACCUGACUUCAAACUAUACUACAAGCCUACAGUAACCAAAACAGCAUGGUACUGGUACCAAAACAGAUAUAGACCAAUGGAACAGAACAGAGCCCUCAGAAAUAAUGCCUCAUAUUUACAACUAUCUGAUCUUUGACAAACCUGACAAAAACAAGCAAUGGGGAAAGGAUUCCCUAUUUAAUAAAUGGUGCUGGGAAAACUGGCUAACCAUAUGUAGAAAGCUGAAAGUGGAUCCCUUCCUUACACCUUAUACAAAAAUUAAUUCAAGAUGGAUUAAAGACUUACAUGUUAGACCUAAAACCAUAAAAACCCUAGAAGAAAACCUAGGCAAUACCAUUCAGGACAUAGGCAUGGGCAAGGCAGCUAAAUUUUUGAUGGGUACUGCACUGAAUCUGUAGAUGAAUUUGGAGAGUGUUGCCAUCUUAACAAUAUUGUCUUCUGGUCCAUAAAUGUAGGAUAUCUGUAUAUUUACUUAUAUCCUCUUACUGUCUUUUAAUAAUUUUAUAUAGUUCUCAAUGGAUAAGUGUUGCACUUAUAUUGUUAAAUUUCUUCCUAAAUACUUCAUUUUUGUUUUUGCUGUUUUGAAUGGAAUUGUUUUCUAAUCUCAAUUUUUUUCAUUGAUAGUUUUUGGAAAUUCAAUUAAUUUUAAAUACUAAUUAUAUAUUUUGCCUUGUUGAAUUCAUGCAUAAGGUCUAACAGUUUUUAGUGUCCUGCAUGGGAAUUUCUAUGUACAAUAUUAGGCUUUUCACAAAUAGAAAUGCAUUUAUUUUUUAUUUUUUCCAAUCUGAAUAGCUUCUCUAUAUUUUUAUUUAACUUAAUUAUCCUGAUUAGAACCUCAAGAGAUAUUGGACAGAAGUGGCAAGAGUGGUCAUCUUUGUUUUCUUUUGACUCAUAAAGAAAAAAAAAAUUUUUUUUUGAGACAGAGUCUCACUCUGUUGCUCAGGCUGGAGUGCAUUGGUAUGAUCUCAGCUCACUGCAACCUCUGCCUCCUGGGGUCAAACAAUUCUCCUGCCUCAGCCUCCCGAGUAGCUGGAAUUACAGGUGCCUACCACCAUGCCUGGCUAAUUUUUGUAUUUUUAGUAAAGACAGGGUUUCAGCAUAUUGGCCAGGCUGGUCUCAAACUCCUGACCUCAGGUGAUCCGCCUGCCUCUGCCUCCUAAAGUGCUGGGAUUACAGGCGUGAGCCACCACACCCGGCCAAGAGAAGUUUUUAUGCUUUUCCAAUUUAGCAUGAUGUUCAUUGUAGGUUUUCAAGCACAUGAUGUUUUUUCAGUUUGAGGCAUUUCCCUUAUAUUCCAAACGUGUUGAGUAUUUUUUUGUCAUGAAUGAUGUUGGCAUUGUCCAAUUUUUUUCACAUCUGUAGACAUAAUUGUGUAAUUUUUGUCUUUUAUUUUUAAAAUAUAGUUUAUUAUAUGGGUGGAUUUACAGAUGUUAAACCAAGUUUGCAUGCCUGGGAUAAAUUCCCCUUUUUCAUGGUGUAUUUUUUUUAAUGUAUGUUGCUGGCCUUGGUUUGAUAAUUUUUUCUGCAACUAUAUUCCUAAGUGAUAUUGCUUUGUCAUUUUCUUGUGAUGUUUUGAUUUGGUUUUUGAAUUAGGGUAAUAAUUGCCUCAAAGAGUAACUUAUAGGUAUUCUCUAAUCUAUUUUUAAAUAAGUUUCUGAAAGAUUGAAAAUUAUUAUUUAAAUAUUUUGUAUAAAUUCAACAAUGAAGCCAUUUGAGUCUGGACUCCUGUAGAAUGUUUCCUUAUUACUAGAUCAAUCUUUUCACUUGUAUAAAUAUAUGUAGAUUUUCCUUGUCUUGUUGAGUCACUAUUGUAGUUUGCAUUUUUUCUUAGAAAUGUAUCUAUUUUAUCUAAAUUAUCUAAUUUUCAUUUAUGCUAUUCAUGCAUAAUAUUUUUAUGUAAGUUUAGAAGUUAUAUUACCUCUUGAGUUCUUGAUUUUGGCAAUUUUAAGUAUUCUCUUAUUUUUUUCAUGGUUAAUGAAGCUAAAGUUUAAAAAAAUUUUGUUUCUGUGAUUUUCUCUGUUUUGUUACUUCCUAUUUCAUUAAUUUCUGCUCUAUUAUUUACUAUUUCUUUCCUUUUGCUAGCUUUGAUUUAGUUUAGUGUACUUUUCCUAGUGUCUUGUGGAGGUUAGUUUAGUGAGUUGUUAGACUGCUUUCUUCUUUUAAAUAUUAGUAUUUAUAGUUAUAAAUCUUCUUACACUGUUUUUUUGUGUGCAUGUCUCACAAGUGUUGAUUUGUAGUGUUUUUAUUUUCAUUCAUCUGAAAGCAUUUUUUAAUUUUUCUUGUAUAUUUUUACAUUUGUUGGUUUUAAAUGUGCUGUUUGAUUUUCACAUAUUUAUGAAUUUCCUGAAGUUUCUUGUUUUUCAUUUAUUUUACUCCAUUGUGAUUAGAAAAAUAUACAUUGAACAAUUUUAAUUAUUUUUAAUUUAUUGAUUUUUAUAUUAUGACCUAGCAUAUAGUAUACCUUAGAGAAUUUUUCAUUUACACUUGAGAAUAAUUUGCAUUUUGAAAUUGUUGGGUAGCAUAUUAUAUGGAUAUCUAUUAGAACUACAUGGUUUGCAGUUUUGUUUACAUCUUCUAUUUGUUUUUCAUCAUCUGCCUAGUUGUUUUAUCCAUUAUAGAAAUUUAGCUAUUGAAGUUUCCAAUUACUAUUGUUAAAUUGUUUCUUUCUUCAUUUUUCUCAAUGACUCUGCAUGCACUUGAGUGCUCUGUUGUUAGGUGCAUACAUCUUUAUAGUUGUUAUACUUUUCUGAUACUUCAAUGCUUUUGUUAUUAUAAAAAUGUUACAUUUUAUCUCGAUAACAAUUUUUACACUAAAAUGUACUUCAUCUUAUGUUAACAUAGCCACUCUGGUCUCAUUUGAUUACUGUUUGCAUAACAUAUUUUUACUGCCUCUUUACUUUUAAGCUCUUUGUGUCUAAAAUGUUUCUGUUAUAGUUAGCAUAUAGAUUAUGGAGACUAUUAAUAUUGCAAAUGUCUGUCUUUUUAUUCACUAAUUUAAUCCAUUUACAUUUAAUCAAAUACUGAUACUUGAGUUUACAUCUGUUACUUUGCUAUUUGUUUUCUAUAUUUAUUAUAUUGUUUUUGUUCAUCUCUUUCUCUGUUUUGUCUGCUUUUAUGUUAAAUUGGGAGUUUUUUUGUACCCUUUUAACUACCUGCUUAUUUUGCUUUAUUUGGGGUAAUUUUUUUUUCUGUUGUUGGCCUUGGAUUCCAAUUUCCAUUCUAAAGUUAAGCAAGCUAGUUUAUAUUUAUACUAAAUUAAUUCUGAUAGUAUACAAAAAUUUAUUCCACUAUAACUCACCCCCUUCUCAUUUUUGCUGUUAUACAUAUUGACUACAUCUCUAUACAUCAUAACCAUAUCAAUAUAGAUUUAUACUUACUGAUUAACAUAGCCAUCUUUUAAGUCAGAAAAAAAGGUGUUGAACCAAAUAUAUUCAUAUUAUCUUUUAUAAUUACCUAUGUAGUUACCUUUACCAGUGCUCUUUAUUUCUUUGUGCUGAUUUAAUUGCCUUUCAUUUCAGCUGGAAUAGCUCUCUUUAGAAUUUAUUCUACACAAUAAAUUCUCUCAUUUUUAUUUUUAUAUGGGGAUGGCUUUAGUCUUAUUUUUGACAGAGAGGUUUUUAAAUGUAGAAUAUUUAAUUGAUAUUUUUUCCCUUUUAGCACUUUGAAUAUGUCAUGCCACUACCUUCAGGCCUACGUAAUUUUAAUGCCAAAUCAGUAGUUGGUGUUUGUGACAAUACCAAUGUAAUAAGUUAUUUUUCUUGUGUUGUUCUUCAAAUUCUCUUUGCAUUGGCUUUUUGACAGUUUAGCCAUGGUGGAUAUAUUGUAGAUUUCUUCUAAUUAAACUUUAGUGAGCUUCUUAGAUGUGGAUCAAUAUUUCCAUCAAGUUGAAAAGUUUCAGCUAUUAUUUCUGCAAAUAUUUUUUUCCUUUUCCUUUCACCUUAUUUUCCGAAAUUCCUGUUAUACAUAUGCUGGUGUAUUUAAUGGUGCCCAUAGCUCUCUAAAUUUUUAUAAAAUUUCCUUAUUUUUUUUCAUUCUGUUUCUCAAACUGGGUAGUCUCAAUUGACCUAUUUCUAUGUACAAGGUUGCAGAUUAUCUUCUUCUGACACUCAGAUCUACUGUUGAGCCACUCUAGUAACUUUUGUAAAUUUUGGUUAUUGUAUUCUUCAUCUACAAAAUUUAAAUUUAAAUUAAUUUAUAUAUCUUUUCUCAUGUUAUUUUGUGAGAUAUUACCAUACUUUUCUUUAAUUCUUUGAAUAUAUUUUCUUUUUGUUAUUUGAAAAUAUUCUUAUUAGCUGAGUUAAAGUUUCUGGGCCCUGAAUAGAUAGUUUCUAUUUAUUGGUUUUAUAUAUGUGUAUGGGUUAUAGUUUACUAUUCCUUUCUGUUUUAUAAUUUCUUCUUCAAAACUAAACAUUUUAGAUGACAGAAUAUGACAAUUUUAAAAUAAGAUAUCCUUUUCUCUUCUGGUUAGAUUUUGUUGAUGUUUUUAUUAUUUCUUUAAAUUAUGGUUUUGGCUUUUUUUAUUUAAUAAAUUUUCUGGACUAAUUCGGUAAAGUUUAUUUCCUAUAGUACAUGGUCAUUAAAUGUUCUCCCCGAAUGUCUUAGUAGUCAGCUAGUAAUUAGUCAGAGAUUUCCUGAAAUGCCUUGAACUAAUAAACCUUCAAUCAUUUGCUAAGGAACUUCAUGUAUAUGUGAAGGGAUUCCUUCAAUGCUUAAGAUUACAACUCUACUUCAAGGUCUGUCAGAAGUGAGUGAUUGAGGCUCUCUUAUGUCAUGUCUUUAUUUUGGUAGGUACCUAAUCAUGCACAUGUGCAUAGUUUUCUAAAUUUUUAUGUGUAUUUCAGAGCAAUUCCAAACUCAUGAUCAACACCUGAUUAUCCAGAUAUUUAUUUUAAAUUUUUGUCAAGGCACUUAUGUGCCCCCACUGUAUUGAAGCUUUAAGCAGCUGCAAGGUUAAACAAUUCCUUCUAAUUGUUGCAAACAUAGUGAAGAUGGGGAAUUUUCUUGCAGAGCAGAGCCUGUCUUUUCAAAUAAAGACACUUGAAAAUGGGGCUUUGCCAGGGAGCUAUGGCAGAGAUAGAAUAAUAAUAAUGCUCUAAGGAUGGAGCUUUUCACUAUUGUUGAAGACCUAUGCACUAUAAUUCUUUAAAGAGCAGAUGUUUCACACGUUUACAAAGUAUGCAAGUAAUUUUUCAAAAAAAGUAAGUUUUACAAGGAAAAGUGAUUCUAUGAAGAAUAUAACCAUGAAUUAAAGCACCAAAAAUAUGAGAUUGAAAGCAUAAAAUAUUUGAGGACUUCAUAAUAGUUUGUUCAAGCUAGAAAUUAGUAUACAUGUAAAGGACCAAUAAAUUCUAAAGCUAAAAAACAUAUACACCUCACCCACGAAUGUAGGCUAUAAUAGGUAGGUGAUGAAUUUUAACCAUGGAAGUGUGAGAGUUAGGGGUGGAGUGUGUUGUUGUUGUUGUUGUUGUUGUUGUUGUUGUUAGAUGGAGUCUCACUCUGUCAUCCAGGCUAGAGUGCAGUGGUGCAAUCUCGGCUCACUGCAACCUCCGCUUUCUGGUUUCAAGUGAUUCUCCUUAGACUCUUGAAUAGAUGGGAUUACAGGCACCUGCCACCAUGCCUGGCUAAUUUUUGUAUUUUUAGUAGAGAUGGGGUUUCACCAUGUUGGCCAGGCUGGGCUCGAACUCCUGACCUCGUGAUCCGCCCUCCUCAGCCUCCCAAAGUGCUGAGAUUACAGGCGUGAGCCACCAUGCCUGGCCAGGUUGGAGUUUUAUGGAAUGGCUAGACAUCAUAUUUCUAUUCCUAUCUGCUCCCCAAAUGGAAAUUCUUGUAUUAAUGAUCAAUUUCCUUCUUUCCAAGAAGAACCAACCUGUUAAUAUAUUUGUAGUUUCUUCCAUAACAAAACAUUUGAUAAAUGCAGCUUGGAUCCUCAUAAUGAUUUACACCUCAGCUAUCUCAGGCAGUACUUAAAUACUAGAGUCAUUGGGAGAUUCUAUUAGAAAUUGCAAGGUUUAGAGGUCUGGUGUCUAUUAUCAUGAAAAGCACAAAUAUUUAUCCAACCUAACCUGGUAAAUAAUCUUCAUGGGGCCAAUUUCAAUAACUUUUGUGACAUCUCCUCAGAGACUUUCCCAACCACUAUUUUUUAAAUUUUACCUCUACCAUUGUCUCGCAUCUUCCUCUGCUGUAUUUUUCUGCAUAAUAUUUACUGUUGCCCAAUAUUAUGUUUAUUACUUUAUUGUUUGUAUUUUAACUUAAGAUGUGAACUCCAGAAGGGCAGUAAUUGUGUCCCAUUAAUUGAUUGGCACUUAGAAAUGUUCAGGCAUUUACAUAGUAAGUGCUCAUUAAUAUCUGGUUAAUAAAUAAAGUAUUUCCCCUGUUAACAUCACCCAAUAUAGAAAACUGCUCACCCAGGGUAUGUAAAUAUUUAUGUAGUAGUACACGAUCAUCUUUUAAUUGUUCAUUUUCUGCAAAUUGUAAAUGUAUGAUUAUGUGGUUCUUCGUUUCUACUCUAAAAUUGUGGUAGUAUUAUGUCCCAUUCUGCAGAAACUUGACUACAUAGCAAAACCUGAAAUUUUGCUAAUCCCUAUGUUUAUGCUAAUAACGAAAAAUAGAUAUCUCUUGAAAGAUUUCCCGGACUCAUCACUGUGCUCUAAAUUUUUCCUGCAUCCUUACUAAAAAAGCAUGAAGGAGGUUCUAGAAGUGUGGCUUAGAGAGGCCAAAUCACACACUUAAUUAGUAGCAAAAACAUGACUCAGAUGAGAUUGAAUUUGAAUCUCAUUUGACCUUUGAAAAGUCUUGCUUGUAUUAGUUUUCUAUAUCUGCUGUAACCAAUUACCACAAACUUAAUAGCUUAAAACAACACAUGUGCAUUUUCUUCCAUUUCUGAAGGCCAGAAUUCUAAAAUGUCAUCAAAUCUAGAAGAGCUGAGUGGAGUCUUUCUUACAUGGUAUCACUUUGAUCUCUGCCAGUGUCUUACCACUUCCACCUAUUUUUCUUUUUUUUUUUAGACAGAGUCUCACUCUUGUCGUCCAGGCUGGUGUGCAGUGGCACAGUCUCAGCUCACUGCAGCCUCUGCCUCCCGGGUUCAAGCGAUUCUCCUGCCUCAGCCUCCCAAGUAGCUGGGAUUACAGAUGCCCACCACCAUGCCCAGCUAAUUUUUGUAUUUUUAGUAGAAACAGGGUUUCACCAUGUUGGCUGGGCUGGUCUCAAACUCCUGACCUUGCUGCCACUGUCACUUUUAAGGGCCUUAGUGAUAACAUUGGUCCCACUUGGAUAAUUCAUAAAAAUAUUUCCAUCUCAAGAUUCUUAAUUUAAACACAUUUACAAAGCAUUUUUCACCAUGUAAAAUAUUUAUAGGUUGUAGAGAUAAGGUCAUGAAUAUCACUGAGGGAACAUCACUCUAUCUACCACAAUGUUUUCAUUCACUGUAAAGUGCUGGCUGAAAACAAUAUUCAUCCCAAUUACUUUAUAUCACUGUAUAGUUCACAAAAUAUAUAAAUAGCGUAAAAUAUUUUUCUUCUGGUUACCCUUUACACCCUGAAUCCCUUUACACUGUCUCAUUAAAACAUGAUAUUCAUAAAUCUCAUAAUUGGUUAAUGACAACAGCAUUCAUACUCCAAAAACUCUAGUUCAGAAGGUUUGAUCUGGGCCAGAACAUUAUUAUUUUUCAAAAUUCACCUGGAAAGUCUGACCACUUGUUAGAACCACUGAUACUCAAAAACAAAUCCAAACUCCUUAGACUGAUAUAAGGAUCUUUUAUUUCUCAACCUUAUACCUCCUCAGUGUUUUUCAGUUCAUGGAAUGGAUGUAAGCCUAAUACACUUCAAUUACACAUAUUAUCUAGAUAGCAAAAUAUGCCAUCUUAAUAUUGCUAUGCUUUUAUCUCAGAAAGAUAGCAGAGUUACUAACAUCUGACCAGGAAACAUCUCUUCUUCCUUCAAUUUUCUAUCAAUUUCCUCUGUGACUCGUUCUUUGAAGAUCUCCUUUUUCCAUCUUCUUAUUUCAGUGUGCUUCACCAUAUUUUGUUUUCACCCUUCUUAUAUGUUAGUUUAUUACUAAAAUUAUGUUAACUGAAUUGUAAUUACUUACUUCUGCAUAUUUUCUUCACCAGCUAUGAACUCCUUAUAGCCAGAAGUCCUGCCACUUUUUUAUAUAUACGUAUACAGUCAGGCACUGCCUAACAAUGGGGAUACUUUCUGAAAAAGGCAUCUUCAAGUGAUUUUAUCAUUGUAUAAACAUCAUAAAGUGCACUUACACAAACCUAGAUGGUAUAGCCUACCGCACACCUAAUCUAUAUGGUAUAGUCUAUUGCUCCUAGUCUACAAACUUAUAUAGCAUGUUACUGUACUGAAUACUGAGGGCAAUUUUGACACAAUGGGAAGCAUAUGUAUAUCUAAACAUUUAAAAAGCACUGUAAAAAUCUGGUAUAAAAGAUAAAAAGUCUUACACAUGUAUAGGGCACUUACCAUGAUGGAACUUGCAGGACUGGCAGAUGCUCUGGGUUAUGAGUAUUGAGUGAACGUGAAGGCCUAGGACAUUAUUGUACACUACUGUAGUCUUUAUAAACACUAUAGACAGGCUACAUUAAAUUUAUGAUAAAAAUAUAUUUUUAAUAAUAAAUUAACCCUAGCUUACUAUAAUUUCUUCAGUUUAUAAACCUUUUUAACUUUUUGACUCAUAAAGCCCUGAGCCUCAAAUACAAACACAUUGUACAGCUAUACAAAAAUAUUUUCUUUCUUUAUAUUCUUAUUCUAUAAUUUAUUUCUAUUUUAAAUUUUUUAAAUUUUUUAAAUUUAACCUUUUUGGUUAAAAACUGAGAUAUAAACAUACAUACUUGCCAAGGCCUACACAGGAUCAAGAUGAUCAAUAUCAGUGUCUCCCACCUCCACAUUUUUUUGCACUGGAAGGCCUUCAGGGGCAAUAAAAAGUAUAGGGUUGUCAUCUCCUGUAAUAAUCAAUUCCUUCUUCUGGAAUACCUCCUGAAGGACUUGCCUGAGGCUGUUUUAUGGUUACCUAUUUUUUAAUAAGUAAAAGGAGUUUGCCCUAAAAUAAUGAUAAAAUGGAUAUUACAGCAAAUACAUAAACUAGUAAUACAGUAAUAUGUCAUCAUCAAGUAUCAUAUACUGUACAUAAUUGUAUUGCUAUACUUUUACAUGACUGGCAGGACGGUAGGUUUGUUUGCACCAGCAUCACCACAAACACACAAGUGAUGUAUUAUGCUACAAUAUCACUAGGCAAUAGGAAUUGUUCUCCUCCAUUAUAAUUGAAUGGGACCAUCAUCAGAUAUGCAGUCCUUCAUUGACCAAAAUGUUGUUAUAUGCAGCACGUAAGUGUAUUUGAAAAAAUAUAUGAGAUAUUUACAUAUUUUUUAACAUCUAUCAUAGUGUUUCAAUUGUGAAAGUUAUUUCAUAAACCUUAUGGAAGUUAUAAAUGAAAUAAUAACUGACAUAUCCUAAGAUUUUUUGGUAAGGCCUAUCUGGGACUUAAUCUAAAUGAAUCUAUGCAUUCCCUGAGACAUUUUUUUGUACCAAACUCAAUUCCUAGAAAGGAAAACCAGAUGUGAGGGAUGCAAAGGCAACGAGCACAGUGUAAAUGGAAAGGACUAAAUUUUGCAGAUUAAGCCCCCACUUUGUGGAAGGAGGCCAUGUUCCAUGGCAUAGAUAAGGCACAGGGAAAACAAAGGUUGCCAACAGUAGGGGCAUGGAGUUGUAGGUCAGUGCAGAUAAUUUCUGUUCCCUAGGAACUCUCUUCUUCACAGAUACUGGCCGCAGUGGCACCCAAGGAUGGCAUCCAUCUAAGGUAGUCCAGACUCGGGCAUAAAAAGAUGAAUGAGAAAAGGUGGAUGCCCAUUUUCUCUCUCCGUCAACCCCCAGAUUUUUGCUGAAAGAGGGAAGGGGAGUGAGGGACACCUAUUACUUUCCCUUUCAGAAUGAGCAACCAACUAUCUUCACAACCCUCAGUCUAUACUCCUCUGGAGUGCAUCCUGAAUCACUGGGACUGCUUUGACCCUUAAACUCUGAUGGAAAAAUGCCUCACAGCCCUUUACACAAAGCUUUGGCCAAAUUAUGAUCUGAAGGAAGGAGUGUCUUGGCCUCAGGAAAGAACCAUUUAUUUUGAUACCAUUCUGCAGUUGGACCUUUUCUGUAAACACGAGGGCAAAUGAUCUGAGGCCCCAUAUGUGAAGGCUUUCUUUACCUUGCAAGGUGUAUUAGUCAGGAUUCUCUAGAGGGACAGAACUAAUAGGAUAUACAUAAAUGUGUAUGUGUGUAUAUAUACAUAUAUAAAGGGGAGUUUAUUAAGUAUUAACCUACAUGAUCACAAGGUCCCACGAUAGGCUGUCUGCAAGCUGAGGAGCAAGGAGAGCCAGUCCGAGUACCAAAGAUGAAGAACUUGGGGUCUGAUGUUCCAGCACAGGAAGCAUCCAGCACAGGAGAAAGAUAUAGACUGAGACGCUAAGCCAAGUUAGCCCUUUCGCAUUUUUCUGCCUGCUUUAUAUUCUAGCUGUGCUAGCAGCUGAUUAGAUGGUGCCUACCCAGAUUAAGGGUGGGUCUGCCUUUCCCAGUCCACUGACUCAAAUGUUAAUCUCCUAAGGCAACACCCUCACAGACACACCCAGGAUCAAUACUUGCACCUUUCAAUCCGAUGAAGUUGACACUCAGUAUUAACCACCAUAAGUCCACCUCUUGUCAACUUGAACCCAUACACAUCUCCUUAGAUCAUAUGUAAUCCUCAAAUAAAGACAACAAUGAGGUCAUAAUUACACCUAACAUAAUACAACUAUCCUUUGUACUACUGGAAACGCACCAAUCCCCAACCCAAAUGCUAUUACAUAAAGUUAACAAUACUUAAAUGCUGAUAUGAAGUCAGUAAAUCCUAUGUCACAUGAUAAAGGAAUAAAAUAAAGAUAUUUUCUUAGAACAAGUGUAUACAUACACAAACAUGUUUCUAAUAAAAAAAGGAGAAAAUACUCAUGACAAUUACAGUGCUCUUUUCUGCAACUGGUCAUGUGGUCAUAGUUGGUAUUAAUAACUACCUUCUUCUACUACCCAUUCUGUAUUUCCUUUGCCUUCAGUAAGCACUUCAGCAAGCCAUAUUUUUUUUUUUUUCUUCCUGGUGGAGCAACACAAAGCUCCAAACCUGAAGGGCCUGGGUCAUUUGUAGCCCUGCCUGGACUGGGCUGUUGUAAUUUCUCAUUGACCUUAAUCACAGGGCAUGGUAACACUAAGAGAUGUCCUAAUGGAUUUCCUGUAUUCCAUGCAUACUCUUCCUUACCACCAUUGUGGAUUUGUACACUGAUUUCAUCUUGAUAGUCCAUGUCAAUCACCCCAGCCAACACUAUAACUCUCUUCUUAGCCUGUUGACUUAAAGGUAGCAGGAGCCCAAAGUGUCCAGGUGGUAAUCUUAAUUUCCAGAUUAAUUGACUCCUAGGCUUAGCCAUUUAGCUUAGAGAUAACCGUGAUGACCUCUCACAUGCCCUAAAGACAUUUUCCUCAUUCCUUCUGCUAAACUUCCUCUUACAAGUUUGAGUUUCGAAAACUGUGGUGGAGUUAGUGAGAUACACAGAGAGUGGACAAUACUCAACACUGUGAUGUGCCAUCCACAUCCAUUUUCAGGACCAAAGUUGAGAAUGUCAGCAGAGAGCCCUCAACUGUCCACAUUCUCUGUAAUUAUCUUGGCUGAAGAGAGAUGCUGCUCCCAAAGUGAUGGUCUAAUCUCAAGGAAGCUACCAUCCAAUGACUUCCAUAGGAUAAUUCUAAAAGGCUAUUCUAACAUUGUAUUUUCUUUUGGUGUCAUAUGAGACCUUCACUGAGACUGUAUCAUUAUCUAAUUUUUCCCUCUGGCCAAUUCUGCUUCCAUUCUUUCUCUUCAAUAGGGGUUGAUCCCAAAUUCCUCCCUUGAUAAACCUUCUCCAUGCUGAUCUCUAAUGAAAGACUCUGCAUCCUGGAAAGCCUUAUGAGGAUGCUUAUUAAAGUGCAAUGGAAUGUAAUAGGAAACUCAAUAUCUAAUAAGCCCUAAUCAAUAUUCCUUUCUGUGGUUCCAUUAAAAAAGGGUUUCAAAUUAAGAAUGUAUUUUAAUUUCAAUGACCAUUUCAAAAUUGGUCAAAAAUUACAUUUCAAGAAUAUAAAAUUAUUUUAUAAGUCAUAAAGUGAAAAUAAAAUAUUAUAUGAUAUGAAGCCAAGUCUUAUUUUUCUUGUAAAGUACAAAUGAUAAAUUGAGUUGUAUUAUUCACAUAAAGAACUCUGAAAAGUUAAUAACAUAUUUAAGAAUUGAAAGAUCAUAAAAAGCAAUAAGGUAUUGGGGUCCAGAACAAGGGAUAGUAAUAAAUUAUUUGUGUAUGUCCCUGUCGCUCUCUGUAUGUGUGUGUGCGCACACAUGUGUGUCUGUGUCCAAAUAAAGAGGAUAGAAAAAAUUUGCUUUCACAUAGGUUGAGGUAGGUUGUGAUUCUGGGAAUUUGUCUACUGCUUAGUGGAAUUAGUCAUAUUCUGAAUGAGGGUACCAUAUUCGAGUGAAAGUGAAUUCUAAUUUGAAUUCAAAUAUUCUUUUUACCAGAUGUAUAUUAAAUUAUUACUAUAAAUAGGUAACCAAGAGAAAAAUAAAUAUCUAAACCCAUGAGUUACCUACCAUAAUUUUAUAAAGCCACAGACUUUCUUUUAAAUACACUGACUAGAGUGAGAAUAUUAAACUUGAAGAAAAACUCUGUAUUUUUCCAUCUCUGUUUAUUUAUUCUAUAGGCAGAGCCUCCACUUGAAUUAGUGGGGAUAAAGGGAAAAUGUGUAGAGCAUACAUUUGAGUCUCUUGCCCUGUAUUUAUGGAUAUUGCAAAGCACAAUUUUAUUCUUUCACUGGAGACUGUGUCUUAAGAUCCUCUCUAAUCAGCACCAGAAAAAAGCAGGAAAAAGCAGGUAUUCUACCACAGCACAAAACUGUAUCUGGAAGUCUCCCCUUUAAACAUACCUGCAUGUAUGCAUUUUAUACUAGUAGCUAACUGUUACUUCACUUUUAGGAUUUUGUUGUGGCGAUGUUGUUUUUGCUUAAAAAGAAGGCAAUAUUUUCUCAGAAAUAUUGUCACUUUUUAAUUUUUAAAUUGAAAGGUAUAAACAUAGACAUUGUAGACAUUUCAUCUUUCAGCCCAUUUGUCACAUAUUAUUUUCACUUUCUCCAAUUUCUUCCUUGUGAACAAGUCUUCAAGAACUUGGUUAAAUAUUUCUUUUUUUCUUCUCUUCCAUUAACAACAUAUGUUUUAUGAAAAAUAUAGUUGCUUAUAUUCAAUAAUUUAUUGUCUUUUAUGUAUUUGUAUUCAUUUGGCCUUUGUCUUUGAGAAAUCAUUAUAAUAAGAAUAUAAUAUACACCAAUUAUUCAAAUAUUAUGAAUUUCAAGGGCACUGGUUUUCUACUUAAUUAAAGAUGCUUUUAAAAAUGCAUAAAAUAUAGCUUUCUUUAUCAUAACAGUUUCAUCGUAAUAUUAUUUUUAUUUAAAAAAAAU